Molecule: ribosomal RNA, 468 nt
Filed under: uncultured bacterium
Lineage: Bacteria
Description: partial 16S ribosomal RNA
Rfam family: Bacterial small subunit ribosomal RNA
Source: RNAcentral
GACGAACGCUGGCGGCGUGCUUAACACAUGCAAGUCGAACGGAAAGGCCCUGCUUUUGUGGGGUGCUCGAGUGGCGAACGGGUGAGUAACACGUGAGUAACCUGCCCUUGACUUUGGGAUAACUUCAGGAAACUGGGGCUAAUACCGGAUAGGAGCUCCUGCUGCAUGGUGGGGGUUGGAAAGUUUCGGCGGUUGGGGAUGGACUCGCGGCUUAUCAGCUUGUUGGUGGGGUAGUGGCGUACCAAGGCUUUGACGGGUAGCCGGCCUGAGAGGGUGACCGGCCACAUUGGGACUGAGAUACGGCCCAGACUCCUACGGGAGGCAGCAGUGGGGAAUAGUGCACAAUGGGCGGAAGCCGGAUGCAGCAACGCCGCGUGCGGGAUGACGGCCUUCGGGUUGGAAACCGCUUUCGCCUGUGACGAAGCGUGAGUGACGGUAAUGGGUAAAGAAGCACCGGCUAACUACGUG